GUCUAAAUCCUAAUACUUUCACAAAGAUGCCUAAAUUGAGAUUUUUAAAGUUCUAUAGUUCAUCAGUCAAUGGAGAGAACAAAUGUAAGAUAUCUUAUUUGCAAGAUCCCAGAUUUGCUGAAGUGAAAUAUCUUCACUGGUAUGGAUAUCCGUUGAAGUCAUUGCCUUCAAACCUUAGUGCAGAGAAACUUGUGUUACUUGAAGUGCCUGAUAGUGACAUUGAACGACUUUGGGAUUGUGUGAAGGUAUGCAUAUCUUAUUAUACAUGUGCAAUCUUUCAAAUUACAACAUUAAAUUAUUAUACGUGGUAACGAUUUUGUCUUGGCCUCUUUUUUGACCGAGCAGCAUUAUAGUAAGUUAAACCAGAUAAUCCAUGCUGCCUGCAAUAAGCUAAUUGCCAAAACUCCAAAUCCCACGUUGAUGCCAAGUCUGAACAAGCUAGUUAUCUUGAAUCUAAGAGGUAGCAAAAGCCUAAAAAGUCUUCCAGCUAGAAUACUAAAUUUGGAAUUUCUUAUCAAACUUGAUCUUUCGGGCUGUGCGGAAGCUAAACUAGCAGAGAGUGUGCGCUUGUGCCAUGCCCAAUCUGAGCGGACUUCAUCCACUUCCGCACGGACAGUGCGUAGUUCAUCCUAAACAAAGCUACGAAGUUUUAGCAACUCAUCAUGGAUUGAACGAAACUCACCUCGGAGAGUGUUCGCUUGCUCGUGGAUGAGGGCUUUUGUUGCCACCGUGAACUCGGCGUAUUCUCCCUUGAGACCGGCCACUCUUUCCUCUAAACUAUCGAGGCUAUCUUGAGUGGCGGACAAUGCGACUUCGAGAGUGGCUAUGUGAGGCUCCAACGCAUCCACGGAUGGGGCCUUGGACUUACCGCGAGUCUUGCCUUGGGUGCGCUCUCCCUCACGGCCGCGGCUUGGUUCCGGCGGAACAUCCACACCAACAACACCCUCUUGUGCUACAUUCGAAGGGUUGGCCAUUGCUCGUGAGCUAACUUGCGUGCGUGCAAACCUUAGCUCUGAUACCAUUUUUCAUGGGAUGAGUGUUUUGCACAGCAAACCCGUGCGGCACUUAGACAACCUUUGCCGAAUGUUGCUAAGUAAGCCUUGCACUUCUCAACUAGCUAAGCCUAGAGGUUUUGGAAGAGCUAGAGAGAAGAGAGCAAUGGAGCUGAAUAAGGAAACUUGUAUUGCUAACAAAAGAGAUUACAAGAGAGCUUACAAGUGUUUGAGUUGCUUAUGUUAAGCUUGUUGUUGUGCAAAUGCUAAAUGCCAUCCCAUAUUUAUAGGGGAGGCUUGCCAAGCUCUAGAGAUUCUAGAGAAAUCUAUCAACUAUCUAGAAUUUACAUGUGCUAGAAAUGUAUAGAGAAUUCUAGAGUAUUUACAAACUCAAAUGUGCUAGAGUUGCCUAGAACUUUCUGGAAUUAGGCCAAGCUAGCACUCUUGGCCUUGUCUUGGGCUCUUGGUGGGCAAAUUGGGCUAGCAAUUGGGCGGUUCGCAACAAUAUGCAUGGUGGUGGUGGGGAAGCCUUUUCCCAUUUCCCAUUUCCUUUAAAAUUUGACCGUUAUUUUUCACCUAAUUCUCUAAGAAAUUUUAGUAGAGUGAGGAUGAAAAAUCCUCACGUGAAGAUCAAUUUUUCUAUCUACAUCCUGUUACACAUUUAUCUAUUUUAUAAUAGAUUCUCACAUAUAAUUUUAGUGAAACAAAAAUUAAAAUGACUCAAAUAAAAUCAUCACUAACAUAUCAUAAAAAUAUUUAAAUUAUUAACAAUAAUAAAUAAAAAAUAUACAUACCCACAAAUAAUUUUGGAAUCAUUUUUGGGUAAAAGCCCAUUUAGUCCCUAUAUUUUAAGAUUACUGUCCGUUUAGUCCCUGUAUUUUUAAAAAUGCCUGAAAACACCCUCGGCAUCACCUCCGUUACUGUUAAUUCUAGAUUCAUGAGGGUAAAAAUGUAUUUUUCUUGGUAAAAUUUAAAAUUUUAAAAAAUUAUUACGAUAACCUAGAUCCAUAAUGGUAAAAAUGUAUUUUAACCCUAAUAUUCUUUAAAACCCUCACUUUAAGAACUUAAGUGACUUGCUUUUUUAAAACUCAUAACAAUUUUCUUACUAUAAAAUUUUUUCUAUUGGAAACGUAGUCUUGCAGUAAAUGUCAAAACCGACAACGAAGGAAAUUGGCCUAUUCUGGUACGUCUCACGUUGGUCUUGUUUAUUUAUUUAUUUUUUUAAUCUUCCAUUUGUUCAGUGAAAAGAAAUUAUUUUUCUUUUCACUUGAAUGGGUAUUCCAUUUGAAGUAGACUAAAAGUUGAACGGUUUUUGUUUUGCAGUAGACUAAAAGUUGAAUGGUUUUUAUUUUCUUUCUUUUUUUUAACCCUUUCAUGGUUGUUUCGUAGCUUAAUAUUGGUAGUGGAAUGGAUUUGUAAUUGAAAAGAAAUUAUUUUAACUUCACUUGAUUGAGUAUUUUUUUGUAAAAAAAAAUCAUAAUCAUAUAAAGUUCUAUAAUGUCGAUUUUGUAUUUUAUGAAUUCGUAUGUAAUAGUUUUAAGUUUCUGAUAUUUUUUGUUCAUCUUUAUGUUGGCAGAUUCAAAUGAGUCAAAUCAGCAUUUCAGUUCGAUUUUUAGGCAAAGAUGUAGAGGAUGCUUAUGAUCCUGAUUGCUUGAGUCUUGUAUCCCUCAUCAACGAUGUCUUGAAUAAUGUCUUUGGAAGGCACAAGCAUUAUGAUGAGAGCUUUAAGCUUACUGGCAUUGUCCCAUGGUCCAAUGAAGGGAUUGAAUUGAACAAUGAUAAAAACUUCCAGAAUUUGGUUAACUUAAUUCAAGCCAAGGGUCUUAAUUCUAUUAAUUUGGAGAUGGAUGCGUUAUCCUUGGCCAGCUUGUCACCCGUUUUAGCUCAAACUCGCCCUAAAGAUAAUCAUUUUGCCUCAAAUGCAGUUAAUGUUGAUAUUUUAGAUGGUGAAAGUGAUGAUGCAACCAGUGUUGAGUCUAUUGACUGGUCUGAUGAAGAUAUUGGUGAUACUGUUAAGUCUGAUAGUGAACCUAAAGUUGAUUUAGGGUUUGAUAUUAAUGAAUUUGAUGGAGAUGAUGGCAUGUCAGAUUGUGAGAGUGAUAAUGAAGAUGUAUCUAUUGCAAGUGAUGAAGAAGAUGAUGCUGUAAUAUUGAAGAUGACAAGGGAUUUAAGAAAAAAAAGGUUCAAGAAACCCGAUGGUGAUGAUGAUAUUGUUUUGGGAGUUGGGCAAACUUUUAGUUGUGCUCAAGAGUUUAAGAAUGUAUUGAAGGAUUAUGCUAUUCAAGAGUCAAGAGUUUUGAAAAGGAAAAAGAAUGACAAAUGUAGAGUUACAACCGUGUGUGCUGGGAAGGACAAAGAAGGAAAGGAAUGUCCAUGGAGAAUCCAUGCAUCUUUAUUGGUUGACAAAGUUACAUUCCAGAUUAAAACUUUAAAAGGUGGUGAACAUAAGUGCAAAGAGUUGUUUAAGAAUCCUGAAGUAACUAGUAGAUGGAUAACUCAGAAAUUGUAUGGUUUUAUUAGUUUUAAUCCUGAUAUCGGUUGUGAAUCCAUGUCAGAUGAAUUGAGGAAGAGGUUUUCUUGUUCAACUACAAAGAAAAGGUUGUAUAUGGCCAAAAAAAGGGUUCUAAAAAUUGCUGAUAGUGACUACACAAAAUCUUAUGCAAAGUUACAUGACUAUGCCAACGUUCUUCUUAUAAAGAAUAAAAGGGCAAUGGUGAAAAUUCAAUAUGAAAUGCAAGGUGUAGAGACGUACUUCAAGAGGAUAUUCAUAAGUUUUGACGCACUAAAAAAUGGAUUUAUACGUGGAUGUAGAAGGUUCAUUGGAGUUGAUGGCUGCCACCUUAAGACAUCAUUCGGUGGUAUCUUGCUGACAGCCGUUAUACUUGAUGCCAAUAAUGGCAUAUUCCCAUUGGCAGUUUGCAUUUGUGAGGUUGAGUGCAAGGACAGUUGGAAAUGGUUUCUUGAAUUGUUGAAGGAACAUCUUGGUAUAGUGAAUGAGAUGGCUCUUACUAUAAUGUCCGACAGACAAAAGGGUUUAAUUCAGGCAAUUGAUGAAGUUUUGCCUGGGUGUACCAUAAGACAUUGUGUAAAAGUAAGCCAAAAUAAAUGAAAGAUAACAGUAGGGUAUCAAUACUUUAACGGUAGGGAUGUUUUAAGGCAUUUUUAAAAAUAUAUGGACCAAAUGGAUACUAAGCUUAAACUAUAGGGACUAAAUGGGCUUUUACCCAUCAUUUUUUAUCGUUCUUCAAAAACUUAUCAAAAUUUGGUGCGUGGGACCUGUGAACCAUCUCUAGUCGGCCACAUUGGACUUCUUACUGUCGGUCUUCAAAGAACUUUUGAGAAAGGCAGUAGACAAUGAGUUGAAUGAAAUUACUACGAAACUUCCCUGAAGAUUCAAGGGAGUAGUGGAGGAUACAUAUCAAGCGCACAGACACAUUCAAUUCAGUUGAACUGUUUUUGUUAUGGCUUCUUCUUUUUCUUCUUCUUCUUCUUCUUCUUCUCAUUGAUCCACCAGUCUGAGGCUGAUUAGACCACGAAAGUAUGAUGUUUUUGUCAGUUUCAGUGGAGAGGACACCCAUGACAACUUUACUAGCCAUCUCUAUUCGGCUCUGUCUCGACAAAAUAUCCAAACUUUCAUUGAUGACCAGCUCAACAGGAGAUGAAAUUUCACAGUCUCUUGUAAAUGCAAUUGAAGCAUCAGCCAUUUCAGUUAUCAUUUUCUCUUAAUCAUAUGCUUCUUCCAGAUGGUGUGUCGAUGAACUUGUAAAGAUCCUCGUGUGCAAGAAAGAGCGUGCACAGAUUGUGAUUCUGGUUUUCUAUCGGGUUGAUCCAUCAGACAUGAGAAACCAAACUGGGAGUUUUGGGGAUUCAUUUUCGAAGCUUGAAGAAUUCAAAGAAGCUGCAGAGUUGGAGGAAUGCUUUGAAGGAAGCAGCCAGUUUGUCUGGCUUUCCUUCUCAGAACAUCAGGUGAAAAGUUACUUUUAAUUUCGUAUACUAAUAUUCAACACUAUAAAUAAUAUUCACGCAGCACUCUUAGUUAAAUUUUCCAGAUGCUAAACUACACUUUUAAAUUUUAUCAGGCAUCAAAUUCUAGACAUCUUGAACUUCCCCACUUUUGAACUCCUAUAAAAGAAUUUUUGCAGAAUUAAUAAUAAAAGCUCCAGAAGUUACAAUAUAUUUUAAAAUUAAUAGUGUUCUGUCGUUUUUUAAUCAAUUUCAAUCUCUCACUCAUAUACCAUAAGGGAAAAAAAAUCUCUUCCACCUAUAACAUAUUCGUGUAAUUAAAGAGUUAUUAAUUUAUAGGGAGAUUGUAAAUUCCCUUACUCAAAUCAAUAGAUAUCACUUAUUCUGACUAUUUUUACAAUAUUUAAUAACUCUCCUGGUACCAUUAUUUUACAAUAUUAUCCUUAUGAAAAAAAAUAAGUGGUAUAUAUUAAUUUCAAUUGAAAAACUAGCAAUCUCCCUUAUUUCAUAUUUGAUGCAAAUCCCUUCUAUUCGGAGUUACUGCUGCUAAUUUUAUGUGUUUGAUAGGCCUGAAUCGAAGCUUAUAAAUGAAGUUGUCAAUCACAUUUUAAAGAGACUGCUGGAUGAAGUGUUUCGGCCGAGUGAUAACAAAAACCAGCUGGCUAGAGUAGAAUCAAGAGUUGAGGAAAUUGAAUCUCUUCUAGGUGUUGAGUCGAAAGAUAUUUACGCUUUAGGGAUUUGGGGCAUUGUUGGUAUAGGCAAAACAAAAAUCGCUAGAGCUAUUUUCGACAAAAUCUCUAGUGAUUUUGAAGGUUCUUGCUUCCUUGAAAAUGUUAGGGAAGACGCACAAAGACCGGGAGGAUUAGCUUGCUUGGGACAAAAACUUCUUUCAAAUUUAUUGAAGGAUAAAAAUGUGAGCCUUGAUAUUGGUCUCAAUUUUAGAAGGCUCAGCCGCAUGAAGGUUCUGAUUUUUUUUUAUGAUGUAUCUUGCUUCAGCCAAUUAGAAUCCUCGGCCUUUGUUAUAAACAUCUAAUAACAUAUAUGCAUCAUUAAAAAAUAUAUUCAAAACUUGCAUAGUUCACAUCUCAUUGUACAUACAUACACUUCAGAUAUAUACAUAUAAACAUGGAUGUGCUCAAAAUGUAAGUCAUGCAGUAAUGCGUGUCAUAGCCCAACCUCAACUGAUCAGAAACUGAACUGCACGAAAUCCUACGGAAACCUUAGAGAAAUGGGAUAAAUAGGAAAAUAGUAAGCUUGCUGCUCAAUGAAUGGAUAUAAUUAUAUACAAAAAUAAAUUAGUGCUUUAGUGCUUGUAUAUAAUUGUAUGACAUAACUUCACACUGAAUGCAUUACAAAAGUAAACAUAAAGUCAUAUAUACAUACAUGACAAAACUGCAUUGAAUAAUAUCCAGGAGAAAUAACUCUCAAUACUCACUGGGAUCAUCAUCGCACGAGUGAAAGUGGGGGAAAAACCUCUCAAUACUCAGUGGAAUUAACUGCAUCACAAGGGCCGAGUAAUCUAACUCUCAAUAUGCAUGCGUAGAGCCUAUGGGGAAGGGUACACAUAUGGUGCUUGGCAAUCACAUCUGAUGAUUCAAUCAAUCAUAUAUUGUACGUACAUAUAAUCAUAACAUUAUACUAAAUCAUACUAUUGAACAUAAAUGCUUUGUAGGAUACAUAAUAGUAAUAAUAAUAAUCCAUCACAUAUCUUGUUUCACUUUAGGGUUCGUUGGGGAUCUUGUGGAUUCCUUAAUUCUUGGAUUUCUCCUAACAUAAAGGGUUAAAAAAUUAAAUGUUAGAACCAACUGAUAUAAAAGCUUUUAUGUAUGAUGUAAACUAAAUCAUAAUUGUUCAAAUUUCUUAAAUAUGUUACCCACUGACUCAUUGCAAAUAGAUCUAACUACCCAAUUCUCUUUCUGUAACAUUUCCUCUCAAUUCCUAUUUUCAAACUUAAUUUUCACUCUCGGUUUUUCUUUUCUUUAUUUUUUCUUCUGUUCUUUUCCUCUUCUCUUUUCCUUUUGUUUUCUUCCUUUCUCUCCUUUUCCUUUCUUUUUCUUCUCUCUUUGAAUUGCUCUUUUUCGGUUUGAUUCAUGAAAAUGGUGAGAGCUACUUCAAUUCUUUACUUUAUAUAUAUCCACUACCUCCAAUUAUGCUUGACAAGCACAUAGGUGAAGCAUGCAUGUGCUUUGCUUUAAGCUAACAACUUGUUAUUGCUUGUGAAAUAAAAUACAACAAUACUUGUAACUCUAUACAAUUAGUAAAAUACUUCCUAUCAUUUUCUCUCAUGGACGUAGGCCAAAAAGCUGAACCACAUAAAUCCUCGUGUCUCUUGUGUGAUAUUACUCUCAANNNNNNNNNNNNNNNNNNNNNNNNNNNNNNNNNNNNNNNNNNNNNNNNNNNNNNNNNNNNNNNNNNNNNNNNNNNNNNNNNNNNNNNNNNNNNNNNNNNNNNNNNNNNNNNNNNNNNNNNNNNNNNNNNNNNNNNNNNNNNNNNNNNNNNNNNNNNNNNNNNNNNNNNNNNNNNNNNNNNNNNNNNNNNNNNNNNNNNNNNNNNNNNNNNNNNNNNNNNNNNNNNNNNNNNNNNNNNNNNNNNNNNNNNNNNNNNNNNNNNNNNNNNNNNNNNNNNNNNNNNNNNNNNNNNNNNNNNNNNNNNNNNNNNNNNNNNNNNNNNNNNNNNNNNNNNNNNNNNNNNNNNNNNNNNNNNNNNNNNNNNNNNNNNNNNNNNNNNNNNNNNNNNNNNNNNNNNNNNNNNNNNNNNNNNNNNNNNNNNNNNNNNNNNNNNNNNNNNNNNNNNNNNNNNNNNNNNNNNNNNNNNNNNNNNNNNNNNNNNNNNNNNNNNNNNNNNNNNNNNNNNNNNNNNNNNNNNNNNNNNNNNNNNNNNNNNNNNNNNNNNNNNNNNNNNNNNNNNNNNNNNNNNNNNNNNNNNNNNNNNNNNNNNNNNNNNNNNNNNNNNNNNNNNNNNNNNNNNNNNNNNNNNNNNNNNNNNNNNNNNNNNNNNNNNNNNNNNNNNNNNNNNNNNNNNNNNNNNNNNNNNNNNNNNNNNNNNNNNNNNNNNNNNNNNNNNNNNNNNNNNNNNNNNNNNNNNNNNNNNNNNNNNNNNNNNNNNNNNNNNNNNNNNNNNNNNNNNNNNNNNNNNNNNNNNNNNNNNNNNNNNNNNNNNNNNNNNNNNNNNNNNNNNNNNNNNNNNNNNNNNNNNNNNNNNNNNNNNNNNNNNNNNNNNNNNNNNNNNNNNNNNNNNNNNNNNNNNNNNNNNNNNNNNNNNNNNNNNNNNNNNNNNNNNNNNNNNNNNNNNNNNNNNNNNNNNNNNNNNNNNNNNNNNNNNNNNNNNNNNNNNNNNNNNNNNNNNNNNNNNNNNNNNNNNNNNNNNNNNNNNNNNNNNNNNNNNNNNNNNNNNNNNNNNNNNNNNNNNNNNNNNNNNNNNNNACAUGAACUUAUCAUUAAUUCAUUUGCUAGCCCAUUUUUCAAAUCUAUUUUUAAUUUAAGAUUUACUAUACAAAUAUAAUCAACUUUGUUAUAAUAUGGUGUAAUGUCUAUAUUGCUACAUAGUGUGAUAGGCCAUUAAUGUAAUAUAUAUGGUAUUUAUUUUCACUUGACCAAUUUGCCCAAAUUUAUAUUUUAUAAGCAGUUUUAAUCCUAGAUUCAUCAGGUCGUGAUUUUUAAUUUGUGGGUCGAACCAAACUUGUUACAAACUGACUCAAAUCGAGUCGAUACGGUCAAGUUGGUUCGAUCUAACUGGUUUCGUUUUGAAAUGCCCACCCCAACGAACAACUUUUGAGUUUUCCAUUAUUGGCCUAUUGCAGUUUUUUCCAACAUUCCUUGUUUAAUUGAUAUAUACAUUUGUCACUUUAUUUAUCAAAAAAAAAAAUUAAUAUCCAAGGAACAUAGGAAUUAAAUAUGGGAAUAUAGGAAGCACAAAACAACUAAAAUCCCUAGAUAAAAAGUAAGUUGUCUAUAAGUAUCUUAAUGUUCUUUUCAUUCCUUUUGUCAAAAUUUUAUAAUCUAUUUUUUUAUUUUUGUCAAAGUAUCAUUGUUCUUUUAAAAAAUAUAUAUAUAUAUAUACAAAGUAUAAAUUUAUUUUUUAGUCUAUUAAUUUCUCUAAAAUUUAAAUAUAAAUGAUCAACUAAAUGUUAGUUUGUUGAAAACACUCCUACCGUCGAUGCUGACCGUUACUCGAAAUGUUAUCAAUAAUAUGUGAUUUAUGCAACUGAACAUAUAGCAUUAGUUAGGAAUGAACUUUGCAAUAAAAACAGAAAUUGAGCUAGAAAAGACAACCGAGUGAGAUCAACAAAUGUAGAUCCAAGACAAAUAGUUUUGUAUAUAUUAUUAAUUUGAUUUCCCGUUUGAAGAAGUUUUCAACCGUAACGGAAUGUGACACGUGGCGCGUGCAUCUGACCUCAUACUACCGGUGACCAAUAACCAAUAGCCAACACUCGAUCAUUUUUUAAAAAUUUACCCGCACAGAGAAAACGACGUCGUGAGCGACCCUCGCACGUACCAUUUGAAAAAAGAAAAAAAUGCAGUUGUAUGUAUCAUCAUCAUUAUUGCUCUCCUUAAUCAUGUACAAGAACGUGUCCGUGUCUAUCGUCUCACUUUGAUUCAUUUUCUCACCAGACACCCACUUUAUUGCUCCUCUUCAUCUUUUAAUUUAAAAACCAAAUAUUAUUUUUUCUUUUUCUUAUGAUUAAGAAAUGGCUGCGAAAAUUGGAUCAUUUAGACACAGUUUUGCAGAAAGGAGCAAAGAAAGAUUGCUAUCUAGGAAGGGCUAUUCAGACUUUGGCCUGAACAGCACGGAUGACGAUGGCAGCGAAGAUGGAAUCAAAUGCAGAUGUUUCCGUUGGAUAUCAGACGGAGUCACCAAUUUUUGGACCAAUUUGCAAAACAUUUUUAUUCAAUUCUAUGACAUGGGUCGUAAGGAUCCUCGUAAAGCCGUUUUUGCUGCCAAGAUGGGCUUGUCGUUGGCACUUGUGUCAUUGGUUGUCUUUUUCAAAGAGCCACUCAGUAAUGUUAGCCAAUAAUCGAUCUGGGCAAUUCCUACUGUUGUUGUAGUUUUUGAAUUCAGCGUAGGUACUAGUUUACAAUCAUGCGAUGCGACUAAAACAAGCAAAAUCGUAUUGAGAUUUGGAUAUGGAAGUGAUUUUGUAAUGUUAUUGAAUUUCAUGUAGGUGCAACGCUUAACAAAGGAUUCAAUCGCGCUUUAGGGACGUUUUCUGCUGGUGGCCUUUCUCUGGGCAUUGCAGAGCUCUCUCUGUAUGCAGGGGCUUACCAGGAAGUUAUUUGUCAUCAGUAUUUUUAUAGCAGGUUGGCAUCUUGUUAGCAAUUAAUAUCUAUCAAUCAUUGCCUUGGAGCCCAUUUCUUGAAUUGUUGCUCUUAUAUUUUUAUUUUGUCCUUUUCAAGAUUCUGUGCAAGUUGUGCUAAAUUGUACCCCAAAUUGAAACCAUACGAAUAUUUCGAGUCUUCUUGUUGACAUAUUGCAUUGUACUUGUGUCUGGAACUUCAACAACAUUUUUCCGCACAGCAUUUUAUCGGUUAGUGCUUAUUGCAGUUGGUGCUGGGAUAUGUUUGGUUGUAAAUGUGUGCAUAUAUCCCAUCUGGGCAGGGGAGGAUCUGCACAAGUUGGUGGUCAAAUUUUCAAAGGCCUCGCUACUUCCUUGGAAUGUUAGACAUUUGCUUCUUAGAUAUUCGGUUCUCUUUGAUUUGAGCUGAAUUCUGAUGAGUAGUUGAUUGAUUUAUCAUAUUGGACUUGGAUUUAGGAUGUGUUAGUAACUACUUGCAGUGUGUUGAAUAUGAGAGAGUCCCUUCGAAAAUUCUUACAUAUCAGGCUUCUGAUGACCCAGUGUAUAAUGGUUAUGGAUCGGCUGUACAGUCUACGAGCCAAGAGGAAUCUCUGGUAUAAUCAGUAUAACUUUGCUGGUUCUUUCCUCAACUCCAUCAUCUUUGAUUUCUUUUUCUUUCCUGCAAGGCCUGUCCUUUUGACAGACCAGAAAGUUUGGAUCGCUUGUACUCUUGUACUCUGCAGAUGGAUUUCGCAGUAUGGGAGCCACCUCACGGCCCUUACAGGUCAUUCAAUUAUCCCUGGAAAAAUUAUGUUAAAGUAAGUGGUGCAUUGAGGCACUGUGCAUUCAUGGUCAUGGCUAUGCACCGAUGUGUACUUUCUGAAAUACAGGUAAGUGGCUUUUUUCCUAUUGCUUUAGCUGCUGUUUUAGCAACUUAGGCUUAUGGUCAAAUCUGUACUUGGAGAAUGAAAGUGUCAUUCAAGGAUCCUUUUAUUAUCUCAAAUAUGUCUAGUGAACCAUAUUUCUCUUGGAGUAAUGGUAGCCCAUCUAGGUAAGUCGUUUCAGUCAUUAAUAGUGAGUUUCUGAGCUUCAAUGUACUAAUGAAGUUUAGCUCUAGUCCCAUCUUUCCAAUCUUUUGCUGGUCCUUCUUCUUGAUAAUUGGUACAAUCCAGCUCUUAAUCGGCAUAUAUCCCCACCAGAUUUUUCUCAAUCAGAAGCACUUGAAUUGCGAUCCUUGAACUCCUUUCACAAACUAAUAGUUUCAGCUUUGUGGGCACAGCUUUGAUGGUCUCAAAUGCCAAAACUCCCCUUUUCUUCUCCCCAUUCACUCUGCAAAUUGCCAUCAAAUUUGGUUAAUUGGCAUUUUAUUUAUUUAUUUGUUCCCGUAUUGCAAUUCAAAAGAAUAGUAUAUAUUCAUGCAUGCUGGUUUGGUAGCAUUAUUUUGUUCUUCUUAAUCUUAAUUAAAUUUUUUAUAUAUACGCUAUCACUUUCCAAAUAAAUGAGAAUUACAUGGUAUGUGAAGAAAUAAAUUGAAAAAAAAAAGAAAAUUUCAGAUGCAAGGCACUUAAUUAAAGAGUGCAGUUAAUGAAUCAAAUUUCCUUGAAACUUUAUACUUCAGGAAACAUUAGCAAUAAAGCUGAAGAAGUCUGGAUCAAGUCGAAGUUUGUAGAAUUUAUGAGUAUUAUAUUUAAUUUAGGUUUAUUAAAAUUUACUUUCUUUCAUAGUGGUUUAUUUAAUUUAAGUUUAUAAAAAAAAUGAGUGAGAGGUAGGAAGGGUAUGAAAAAGCACAGAGAACAAACAACAAAUUGUGAUUGCCUUGUCACGGACCUCUUUCUAUUAUAUGGCCCUCAUUCCAUGUCUAAUUUCUGUGAGAAACAAAGGUCUAGAUUCUAGAAAUAAGAGAUGAAAAGAGAAGAUAAAACAUCCUUAUAAUCUACUGAAUGUAUAAAUCUGCAUCUGCAUAUUAUAUAGCAAACAAAAUUAAAUAGUUUCCGUCUUACGAAGUUUUGAAAUUGAUUUACCUUUCUUUAGCUGUUGCCAAGUCAUUUCCAUGUGAUUUUGUUGUUCUUAACCAGUAAUUUUUCUCUCCACUCUUGUGUAUUAGCAGCAGAUGUCUUGUGGUGAUUCCUUUUUGUAAGCUCCAUUUCUUUGUUUCAUUCUUGAGUGAGUUAAUAAAAUAUGUAGCAAAAACAUUCAGGAUUCUAAAUUUUGUGUUAGGCUGCAAGUAUUUGGAGUCUGGAUUUAGAUAUAUGUUUGGUUUGCAAAUUUUAAUGUGCAGGCACCACCAGAGAAGAGACAAGUUUUUGCUAGUGAGCUCCAAAAUGUUGGCAAUGAAGGAGCUAAAGUAUUACGCAAGCGUGGAGACAAAGUUGAGAAGAUGGAAAGGUUAAGCCCUGAAGGCAUACUAUUUGAAGUUCAUGAGGCGGCAGAAGAGUUGCAAAUGAAGAUAGACCAAAAAUCAUAUCUUCUGGUCAAUUCAGAAAGCUGGGCAGCCAUAGCGCAGCGCAAGGAACUGCAAGAUUCUGAGAACUUUAAUGAAGUCAAAGAUGAUGAAAACAAAGUGAUUAACUUGAGCGAAGUGUGUGUAAGAAAAUUAACAGUGAGAUAACAAUUUAAUACAGUAGCUAAUUUAAACAACAACGAAAAACAGCAACUGGAAAUCACGAAUGAACAACUGGAAAAACAGCAGGGAAAAGAAAACCGAAAUAGAAAAUAAACCCGAGGCUUGCAGCACGGUUUCCUUAAAACAGAUUUACCACCUACUGUAGUGCUUUAGGCUUGCUGGUAAUUGUUUCCCAGGAUACAACAGGCACGAAUUAUCCGUCAAGUACAGAUUGAUAAUUCUGGCGAACCACAACAGUGUUCAAAGCUCGAUAAAAAACAUAACGUUAGGAGGAAAGAAAUUUUGAAGUGCUCUCUGUGUGCUGGUUGUUCUUGUGUGUGUAAAAACAAAAGAGGAAUGUGUCUUUUUAUACUCAUGUGGGUACGUAACAGCAGCAUAAAAAUUGAAUUUCAAAAUUCAAUAUAUGCUAUUUAAUUGCUGUAACAACCAUUGAAUUUAAACAAUUCAAUUCAAAAAUUGAAUUGCAUAACAGCCCAAAAAUAAUUGCAAAGUUGUUACAAAUCUUUUGAAUUCAAAAGGUGUGAAACUGUUAACAAAAAAAAUUAAAAGGAAAAUAAAAACGUACCAUGCAAGCUUGGGUGAUUUUGGGCUGACAUUCGCGUACGCACAUGAGUUCAACCAAAUCGGUCAUGAAUUAUUUUGGGUUGACAUUCACGUACGCACAUGAGUUCAACCAAAUCGGUCAUGGGAUUCACACCCCCUGUGAACACACGUGUGGAGAGAGCCUCUAUUAUUAAAAUUCUUGUUCAUGCAUGGUUAAGUGUUUAUAUAUAAACACUAAUCCCUUGGCUUCUUUUUCCCAUGUGGGAUAAGCUUCAUUUCCAUUCAAAUUUCCAACUUCAAAGGUGAACUUUGAGAGACAAUUUCUCAUUCACCCAAACACCAUUUUGAGAAAAUAAAAAUACACUUUUGAAGUAUUAACGGAGUAGAAUCCGAACCUCACAAGAUUUUCCACUUUCAGUAAGUGGGACCUACUCAAAAUGUGCCCUCAAAAUAGCAUAUUGAUAUACUAUUUUUUCAACAGUGUGGGAUGCUCAGAACCCAAACAUGGGCAUGAACUAUCCUAUGCAAGAACGGAUUUCCUCAGAAAAUAUGUCGAGAAAUCCAAUCUCGUGGCCACGGAUGUCGUUUCAUAAUAUUGAGUCCACGCUUGGCUUACAGGAAUCAAAAGUAUUGCUUCACUCUUGAUUGAAUUUGUUGCGAGGCUCCAAAAUCUUGUUGAUGCCUUUGAAGAACUAUGUGAAAAAGAAAAUGUCAAGGAACCUGUUGAGCCGCCAAUUGGGAAAGGGGAGGUAGGAUUUUGGAGCAGGCUUAGCAGAUGCUUUCAGUUGAAGCGCUGAGAUAGCUUUAAAGAUCAUUUUUUCCGAUCCAUAAGUUGAAUACAUGUCGUUGUCAACUGAGACAGUUUGAUAAGCUGAUGCUUUGUGACUUGUGAAUAUGAUGGCUUUAGCUUGCUCUGCCCCCCAUAUACAUAAAAAAUGUAGUAAUGCAGUGGAGAGGUUUUGUCAUAGAAAUUCUUAAUAGCAUAUGGGGUUUAGAAAUCAAUGCAUAUAAAAUCCAUUUUCAAAAAAAAAUUAUUGAGACAUUAGUCUACAGUUUUUUUUUAAAAAAAUUAUUUUUUUAUUUUUAUAAUUUUUAACCAAAUAUUUAUAUUUUAAGUGUAAAAAUAAUUUUUUCUUAGUAGUUACAGUAGCUGCAACAUAAAAUCCACAACACUUCAUUAUCAAAUAAGCCGUACGUUUGAAUCAUCUAAACAACUUACUAGGAUGCCAUGAUUCACAUAAAAUUAUCAGCACUUAACAACACAAAAGUCAAAAAGCAAAUACUCUUACUCAAGUCUUAUAUUUGUUGCACGAAGAAGAAAGAAGAUAACAAUUUUAAAUUAACCAACAGGUUGAAUCUUAUCCUAAUACACACUAUCAGCUUUGAAUUAGCAUACCUUAGAAGUCCUGAACUCAUUCACGGCCACUCGAAGAGAAUCAUCCGAUAGAAUCAACCGUGACAACGCUCCAGUGCUUAACCUGCCACAUUUUUUCCUUCCGAGUUGGGGAAUCCGAAGCAGGGAUUGAGCGGCCAGCGCCAUCAUCAAUUUCAAUUUCCCUCACUGUGAAUGUGAUAAUCCAAGCAAAGCUUCGUUCUAGUAACACAUUCUUAUAGCAGGCCCAGCCCAAUCCAGCCCAGUCGAGCAAGUGAGCAAUGUUAUUAUUUUAUUAUUUUUGAACUUGCGGUGGCUCUGUAUUAUUUGCAAAAUACUCAUGUAAGGCAGAGAAUAUAUUUUAUAUUGGAAUAUUUUCAAAAUAAAUGGUGCUUUAAACAGGUUUUCGAUUGUAAAGAUAUGUCAUAUGCCUAAUUAAACAGUGUCGGGUAUAAUAAAAAUAUAUCUUUUUAUUUAAAGAUGUAUCCAUUCACGGUUUUAUACUUCAAUUUAAAAUGGUAAUGAUUUAUUUUGGACCGGUGAUGAUCUAAUUCAAAUUUUGAUUUAAUAACCAUAAAUGAAAAACUACAUUUGUAAUGUGUCUCGAAGCACCAUCAAUUCCUACCUAUAUUUCAAUUAAAAUAAGAGUGAAACUAUUGGCACCCAUUUAUUAUUCUUAUAAAACUUAUUUCAAAUAAAAUUACAGUUAAGGGUAAAGAAGAAAUAAACACAUGUAGGAUUUUUUCUUCCCAACAAAUUACUUACAUUAAUAAUCAAUCUUUUUUUUUAAUUUCCUACCAUUAUUUCUUAUCUAACUAAGAUAAAUUGUAUAAAUCUAGCAUAAUCUAUUUUUCUUUUCCUAUUUCUUAUUGAUUAAAUAUUUUCGUACUCAAGAUUACUUUCAAACUACAAUCUAAAAUAUGUGUUAUUUAAGCUAAUGAUUAGCAUUCAAACUUUAUCACCUAGAAAACUUUUUAAUUUGUAUUUAGGAUAACAAUAAGAUUGCAAAAGAGAUGAAAAAUAGCACAAUACUACUUUGAGUUUUAAGAAUAAAAGAAUAUUAAAUGAAAAACUAAAAGAGUGUCUUUGAAAAUAAAAGGAAAUGUUUGGAAAUAAAAUAAAUAUAACUGAAAAAAGGAUUUGAUGAGGAGACUAGAGGGGUGCCAAUAGUCCAACUUUUAAAAUAAAGUUUUAUCAAUUAUUGCUCCCCUUUUCUGCAAUUAUUAUUCCCCACCCAUAUUUCUCCAACAUUUUAUUUCAUAUAUUUACUCCUACUACACUCUAACAAAGGACGCCUUUUGGACUACAUCAGUUUCUAGAUGCAUUUUAUUAAUAAAUUAAAUAAAGGCACCAUCCCUUGUUCAAUUUCUCUAAAUGACCACUUUCUGUCAGCUCUCUUAAAAUUUAUUAAGGAAUCUAUGUUGAAGACCAUUUCAUCAUUAGUAUUGUGUAAAUGUAUAAAAAUACAUUUUACACUUUGAAAUUUAAAAUGACCUUCUUUUAGCACAAAAUUUUUAAACAAAUGCCUCUAACUAAGCGACAAAUUUAAAAAUACAUGAUAAGUACCAUAUCAGCCAUAUAAAAAGUGAAUCAUACUAUGAUAUAAGUGCAUUUAUUUUGAAAAACCAUCUCGUAAAUAAUGGUUAUAUUGAAUCUAAGUAAGUGCAUAUCAUACAAGACACAACCUGGCCCAGCCUCUCUGACGGAUUCAAGGUGAAUCAUGUGAUCUUAUAUCUAAAGCUUGUGAAAUAAAUUUAAUUCAUGAAUGCAUAACACUAGUCUCGGCCUUUGUUAUAAACAUAUAAUAACAUAUGUGACUCAUUCAAAAAUAUAUUCAAAACUUUCACAGUUUACAUCUUACUGUACAUACAUACACUUUAUAUAUAUACAUAUAAACAUAAACAUGCUCAAAAUAUAAGUUAUGCAGUAAUGCGUGUCGUGGCCAACAUUAACUGAUUAGAAACUAAACUGCACAAAAUCCUAUGAAAAUCUUAAAGAAAUGGGGGUAAAUAGGAAAAUAGUAUACUUGUGGCUAAAUGAAUGGAUAUAUAUAUAUAUAUAUAUAUAUAUAUAUAUAUAUAUAUAUAUAUAUAUAUAUAUUAGCGCUCUAGUGCUCGUACAUAAUUGUAUGACAUAACUUCGCACUGAACGCAUUAUACAAGCAAACAUAAAAUCAUAUAUUUAUACAUGAUAAAACUGCACCAAAUAAUAUCUAGAAGAAAUAACUCUCAAUACUCGAUGGAAUCAUCAUUGCACAAGUAAAGUAGGGGAAACACCUCGCAAUACUCAGCGGAAUUAACUACAUCACAAGCGCCGAGUAAUCUAACUCUCAAUACACAUACAUAGAGCCUAUGGUGAAGGGUACACAUAUGGUAUCUGGCAAUCACAUCUCAUUAGUCAAUCAAUCAUAUAAUAUGAGUACAAAUAAUCAUGACAUGAUACUAAAUCAUACUAUCAAGCAUAAAUACUUUGUAGAAUACAUAUAAGUAAUAAUAGUAAUCCACUCACAAAACAUUUUUCACUCCGGGGCUUGUUGGAGCUCUUAUAGAUUCCUUAAUUCUUGGAUUUCUCCUAAAAUAUAGGGUUCAAAAAUUAACUGUUAGAACUGAUAUAAAAACUUUUACAUAUGACAUAAACUAAAUCAUAAUUGUUCAAAUUUCUUAAAUACGUUACCUACUGACUUACUGGAUAUAUAUAGAUAUAACUAUCCAACUCUCUUUCCUAUAAUUUUUCCUCUCAAUUCCUCUUUUCAAAAUUAUUUUUCACUCUCGGUUUUUCUUUUCUUCAUCCAGUUAAACAUGUUCUUUGACAUAUAAUACAGUUUAUGGUCAAAAAACUCAUACGUAAUUGAAAUUAAAUUAUUUUUUAAUCUCAAUUUUAAAAUAUUUUAAAAUAUUUUAAAAGAUUUUCAAACAUAAGAUACAAUGGUAUACAAUUGAAGCCUAAUCCAACAUUGAAAGAUUAAAUAAAAUUAAUUUUCAUCACUACUCAAGAGACUUGAAAGGACGUUAAGGUAGCGUUUAUUUUUUAUUUAAAAUCUGAAUAGGUUAGAAUUUGAUUAAAGCCGAAUGGCUUUGAAUAUAAAUGUUUCAAUAACAUGUUAAUUUUUUUAAUAUCUAAAAAUUAAAUGGCAUCUUGUUUGUUUUUAUAAUAAGAAAACACAUCAAAUGUGGUUAUUUAACAUUUAUGUCUUUAUAAGUCAAAACGAAUAAAAGGGAUUAGGCUUCGUAGUUUAUGAAAUAACUAUAUUGAAUUGAAAUAUUUUUAGGAUAUAGUAUUUAUUUUCUAUUCAAUCAUUUUUUUCAUUUCGGCAAAGGUCACAAAAAUUUACUUUUUUAAUUCAAAUGUAAAUAUCUAAAAAUCAGACAUAUGUUACAAAAAAAAAUAAAUAAUUAACUUUUUUAAAAAAAGUUAAACUUUAUAUGUUUAAAAUAAACGCUAAGGAACAUGAAUAAGAGCUAUUAAAACAAAAACAAAAAGAAUAAUUUGGAAACUAAAUACAAUUAAUUGAGAGAUGAGGACCGAUAAGAUAAAUUCUAGAUAAAAAUUAAAAUAUCAACCCUACUUAUUGCUGGUAGUUAUGAGCAUUAAAGCACAGAAGCCGUGUCUUGAUAAGUAUGGAGUUCGUGCGGAAUUUUCAGCUAGAAGUCUACAAAGCAGUGGAAUUAAUCAAUCAUCGUGGAGUGCACGGUGGUUGGACAAUGAGAUGAAAUUGAAAAAUUAUCACGGAACGUGAACGAAGGUUCAUGGCAUCCAUUUAUUGUACAGAGUCACGCACAUUUGGUUCAAUAAUUGUUUUCAUCCGAAUCAAAAUCUCUCUCUAAUCAAUUCAACCGUUCCUGUUGAUUAUGGCUUCUUCUUAUCGAAACAACAAGAAGUAUGAUGUUUUUGUUAGUUUCAGAGGAGAGGACACCCGAGACAACUUUACAUUGAGAUGNNNNNNNNNNNNNNNNNNNNNNNNNNNNNNNNNNNNNNNNNNNNNNNNNNNNNNNNNNNNNNNNNNNNNNNNNNNNNNNNNNNNNNNNNNNNNNNNNNNNNNNNNNNNNNNNNNNNNNNNNNNNNNNNNNNNNNNNNNNNNNNNNNNNNNNNNNNNNNNNNNNNNNNNNNNNNNNNNNNNNNNNNNNNNNNNNNNNNNNNNNNNNNNNNNNNNNNNNNNNNNNNNNNNNNNNNNNNNNNNNNNNNNNNNNNNNNNNNNNNNNNNNNNNNNNNNNNNNNNNNNNNNNNNNNNNNNNNNNNNNNNNNNNNNNNNNNNNNNNNNNNNAGCAUCAGCCAUUUCAGUUAUCGUCUUCUCAGAAGGGUAUGCAUCUUCCAGAUGGUGUCUCGAUGAACUUGUAAGGAUCCUUGAGUGCAAGAAAGAGUAUGCACAGAUUGUGAUUCCGGUUUUCUAUCAGGUUGAUCCAUCAGACGUGAGAAACCAAACUGGGAGUUUUGGGGAUUCAUUUUCGAAGCUUGAAGAAAGAUUAAAGGAGAAUACUGAGAAGCUGCGGAGUUGGAGGAAAGCUUUGAAGGAAGCAGCCAGUUUGUCUGGCUUUCAUUCUCUUAACAUCAGGUGAAAAGUUACUUUUAAUUUCGCAUACUAAUAUUCAACACUGUAAAUAAAAUUCACGCACCACUCUUAGUUAAAUUUCCAGAUGCUAAACUACAUUUUUAAAUUUGUUUAUGCAUCAAAUUCUAGACUUCUUGAACUUCCCCACUUUUGAACUCCUAUAAAAGAAAUUUUGCAGAAUUAAUUUUUUUUGUCUUAACCACGAGGUAUCCUGGGAAGGGCCCCAACUUGGGAGGCACAACAAAGGCGAGUUCUCUGCGACUUGAACUGGGGAGCAAACCCAGUCAAGCCACUUAAGGGGACUCCAUUGUCAGUAGAGCCAAUACUUUGUUGGUUAUUUUUACAGAAUUAAUAAUAAAAGCUCCAGAAGUUUACAAUAUAUUUUAACAAAAUUAAUGGUCUUCUGUCGUUUUUUAAUCAAUUUCAAUCUCUUACUCAUAUACCAUUAGGAAAAAAAAAAAAUCUCUUCCACAUGUAACAUAUUCCUGUAAUUAAAAAGUUAUUAAUUUAUAGGGAGAUUGUAAAUUCCCUUAUUCAAAUCAAUAUAUACCACUUAUUCUGACUAAUUUUACAAUAUUUAAUAACUUUCGCGGUACCAUCACUUUGCAAUAUUAUCCUUCUGAAAAAAAAAUAAGUGGUAUAUAUUAAUUUCAAUUGGAAAACUAGCAAUCUCCCUUAUUUCAUAUUUCAUGCAAAUCCCUCCUAUUUGAAGUUACUGCUGCUAAUUUUAUGUAUUUGGUAGGCCUGAAUCGGAACUUAUAAACGAAGUUGUUAAUCACAUUUCAAAGAGACUGCUGGAUCAAGUUUUUCGGCGGAAUGAUAACAAAAACCAGCUGGUUGGAGUAGAAUCAAGAGUUGAGGAAAUUGAAUCUCUACUAGGUGUUCAGUCGAAAGAUGUUUACGCUUUAGGGAUUUGGGGCAUUGGUGGUAUAGGCAAAACAACAAUCGCUAGAGCUACUUUCGACAAAAUCUCUAGCGAUUUUGAAGGUUCUUGCUUCCUUGAAAAUGUUAGAGAAGAGUCACAAAAACCGGGAGGAUUAGCUUGCUUGCGACAAAAACUUCUUUCAAAUUUAUUGAAAGAUAAAAAUGUGAGUCUUGCUAUUGGUCUUAAUUUUAGAAGGCUCAGCCGCAUGAAGGUUCUGAUUGUUUUUGAUGAUGUGACUUGCUUCAGCCAAUUAGAAUCUAUAAUUGGAAGUCUUGAUUGUUUGACGCCUGUGAGUCGAAUCAUAAUAACCACCAGAAAUAAACAAGUGCUUAGAAAUUGGGGGGUGAGGAAAAUAUAUGAGAUGGAGGCAUUAGAAUAUCAUCACGCUCUUGAGCUUUUCAGUCGACAUGCCUUCAAACAAAACCAUCCUGACGUUGGUUACGAGAAAUUUUCAAGCAAGGUAAUGAAAUAUGCUCAAGGUGUUCCUUUAGCUCUUAAAGUUUUGGGUUGCUUUCUAUAUGAAAGAGAAAAGGAAGUCUGGGAAAGUGCAAUAAAUAAAUUGCAAAGAAUCCUCCAUCCAAGUAUCCUAGAGGUAUUAAAAAUAAGUUACGAUAGUUUGGAUGAUAAGGAGAAAAAUAUUUUCCUUGAUGUUGCUUGUUUCUUUCAAGGCGAGGAUGUAAAUCUAGUAAUGAAAUUCCAUAAUGCAAGCGGUUUCUACCCAGAAAUAGGAAUAAGUGUUCUUGUUGAUAAAUCUCUCAUUGCUAUUGGUUCAUACAACCAGAUAAGAAUGCAUGAUUUACUACAAGAGUUGGGUAGGGAAAUUGUUCGACAAGAAUCAAUUAAUCCUGGAAACCGCAGUAGGUUGUGGCAUCAUGAGGAUAUCUAUGAAAUUCUUACAUAUAACACGGUAAGCAGUUUGUUGUGGAUAAUUAUUUUGAAAUAUUCUAGCAUUUACAAACUUGAUAUGAAUAUAUUUAUAUAUGCUCGAACUGAUGAGUCUUAGAAUUAAUAGAAGAGCAACAAUGAUUAGAAAAAACCAUAUCCGUUAGAUGACGUAGCAAUAAAUUAUAAAUGCCAUGACAACUUGCAUAAUCGUUUGCAAGCAUAAUUGAUAUGCCAAUUUGUAUAGUACACAGACGGAAUUUUUAUAUUAAGUAUUACUUGUGUUAUUAUGUUUCUUUGUGCAUUUGCAAUUAAAAGUUUAACUGCCUAGCAAUAACUAUAAGCUACCUCUAAUUGUGAAUUAGUGAGAAACUUGCCCCAAAAAUUUGACUUGGUGGGGUUGAAGUGCGAUUCAUUGGUGGAAUACACAUAUCUUUCAUUUGAUUUUAACUUUAUUGCUUUUUCACUUCCUUUUAGGGGACAGAAAAAAUUGAGGGCAUAUGUUUGGAUAUGUCAAAAGUAAAAGAGCUCCGUCUAAAUCCCAAUACUUUCACAAAGAUGACUAAAUUGAGAUUUUUAAAGUUCUAUAGUUCAUUAUUCAAUGGAGAGAACAAAUGUAAGAUGUCUUAUUUGCAAGACCCUGGAUUUGCUGAAGUGAAAUAUCUUCACUGGCAUGGAUAUCCGUUGAAGUCAUUUCCCUCAAACCUCAGUGCAGAGAAGCUUAUGUUACUUGAAGUGCCUGAUAGUGACAUUGAACGACUUUGGGAUUGUGUGAAGGUAUGCAUAUCUUAUUAUAUAUGUGCAAUCUCUCAAUAACAACAUUAAAUUAUUAUACGUGGUAACGAUUUUGUCUUGGCCUCUUUUUUGACCGAGCAGCAUUAUAGUAAGUUAAACCAGAUAAUCCAUGCUGCCUGCCAUAAGCUAAUUGCCAAAAUUCCAAAUCCCACGUUGAUGCCACGUCUGAACAAGCUGGUUAUCUUGAAUCUAAGAGGUAGCAAAAGCCUGAAAAGUCUUCCAUCUGGAAUAUUUAACUUGGAAUUUCUUACCAAACUUGAUCUUUCGGGCUGCCCAAAACUGAAAAGGCUUCCAGAGAUCUCAUCAGGUAAUAUAAGCUGGUUAUUUUUAAGGGGGACUGCAAUUGAAGAACUGCCCUCAUCAAUUGAGCGUCAACUUAGGCUUUCGUGGUUGGACCUUUCAAAUUGUAAAAGGCUUAAGAGUCUCCCAAGCAGCCUCUAUAAAUUGAAAUCUCUUGGAAUUCUUGAUCUCCAAGGUUGCUCAAAUCUUCAGAGAUUGCCCGAAUGUCUUGGCCAAUUAUCCUCGCCAACAACAUUUAAUCUAGCGAAAACCAAUAUUGAGAGAAUACCAGAAAGCAUUAUCCAACUUUUCGUGUCGGGAUACCUCCUCUUAAGUUAUGGUGAGAGGUUCGAAUUCGUGCAAAAGCCUCCAUUCCUUGAACGAGGUUGCUUGGCACUGCAACCACUUUUAGGUUUGUUCUCUAAGUUAUGAAUCUUAUAGGCAAUUUUUUUUUACCGGAGCAAUAAUUUUAAAUUGGCAGGUAAUUCUACUGCAGGAAUUCUUGAAGAUACCCUGAGAAUUCAGCAUACGAACUUUAUGCCAGCCGUACGUUGGGAAGAAAUAUGGCAAGAAGUAUGGGUAAAUGUGUGUCUUUAACUCUCUCUACUUACAAUUUCUACAAUCUUUUUUUUGGGUUUAAAAUUAUGUUUUUUUGGUACAGAGAGGUUUUUCCAUGGGCAAACUUCAUAUCGUACUGUCUGGGAAUGAAAUUCCAAAGUGGUUUGAGUUUCAAAGUGUGGGAUCUUUUAUAACCUUGGAGAUGCCGCCAGAUUUCUUCAAUAAUAGCAGAGUGCAGGGCAUUGCAUUUAGUGCUAUUUUAGCAUUUUCAGACCGUCAUGUAGAUUGUGGCACAUGGUUUUCAUUUUCUUGUGAGCUCAAAGUAAAAACCACCAAAGAUUGUGGUCCGCAUGACACACGAUUAUUUCAGAGCAGAGUUAAUUAUGUAGAAUCAUAUCACUUACAUUUGGGGUACUAUCUGUUCUGUGAAGAGGAUUUUAAUGGUUUUUGGAAAUGCAAUUGCAUUCCUGAGGCAGUCCAGCGGGGUGAAAAAAUGUGGGAUCCAUUUACUUCACACCCCAGAUUCUACGAAUUCAAUGUAAGAUCCAAGCAGAUGUUUCAACUGUAACGUAGAAGACUGAGAUAGGUGUCAUUUUCACUCAACUCACCUGAGUUGUGAAUCCAUUUGCUUAAACAUGUAUGCACUUUUUCAAGUAUCUCUACCAAUUCCAUAUUUGGAAUGGUGCAUUUGAUUCCAUAGUUGAUGUGGUAUCGUCUAUGGUUAGAAUUUAUAUUUACAAAAAUGACUUGUAAGGGAAGGAUUGAAGAUGCCCGUGAACUUAUAUUUCGAUUUAGAUUAUUGUAUCUUUUUCAUGUAUAAAAUUGGAUCCUAUCAUUCACAUAUCAUUGACAUGAGCAAUAUGGAUUACUAAAUCAUUAUUCUUUAUUAUUGUGCUGAAUUUGAUUUUUUAUUGAAUAAUUUGAUAUAUUUCUUGAAUCAAUUUGGAGCUUCUACAACAUGUCAGAGAUCAGUUUCUCCAACAUUCCUUUCGGCGCCAAAAGAUAACCAAGCGGUUGAAUAAGAAUUGAUAUAUACAACAUAAAUACAAGAGUUGUUUUGUCUUUUUACAAUAGGAAUAAUAUAUAAUGCUCGUUAAAACUUGCUGAUGAGAAAGUAAAUUCCUCAGAAAUUAAAUGUUUCAGCCAACCAAGGAAGCAGCUUUUCGUGGACCAACUCAGGCCUGUCGUCAUGGGGGCAAUGUCCUACUCCUUUCAAUACAAUUAACUUCACAUUUGAGAGUUUAGAAGGCAGAGAUGAGAUGUAUUUACCAACAGGUCCAUCGAGGGGUGUGAAUGGAUCCUCAUCAGCCCAUAAAACUAGUGCAGGUAUAGAGAUUGAUGGCAUCAAUUGAACUGGGUUCGGCCCUGGUGGGCCUGUUACAAUCGAAACAAAUGCGUCAAGUGCCCCUUCCUCAUUGGCGGGCUCUCGUAUGAUCUGCAGUUUUGAGGUCGAUUCAUGAAUUAUGAGACGCCAUUUUUGUAACAGGUUAAAAUGGCAUAUAAGUGGAGAAUAUUAAUACCUCAACCAGUGUUUCAUCCACAGAUUCCUUAUUUGCAUAAAUGGACAGUAAAAUAUUCCUCGUUGUUUCCCUGAAGCACCAAUGUAUACACAUCAUAGAUUUUUUUAAUUUUGACUCUAGUGUUUUAGGAUAAUGAACAAUGGACUGAAUAAAGAGAAGAGAAAAUACCUUUGUUUCACACGCUCAAAUAUAGCAGAAGCAAUUGGCCUUUGCUUCAACAAAAAAUCAAUGAACCAAAGCAAUGGGAACAAUAGCUUGAUUCUCCAAUCAUCAACAAUUGCCUUGUUGUUCAUGCCACCAGCACAAUUCAACAGAACAAGCCCUCGAACAAGGGUUUGACUGGAUUCUUAUGGUAGAAAAUAUAGCAGGUUUAUCGUAAACCAUAGAUACCAAAAAGGAUAAUUAGGGACAAGUGUUUCUUUGCAAGCAAGUUGAAGAAUAUCUGAUGUCCAAGGGGAAGUUAAAAUAAAUAUACCUGAGGCAGCGAUAACACAAGCUAGGCUUCCAACAGAAUUACCUAUAAGCACAGUUGGCUUCUGAACAACUUCAUCCAAGAAAUCCAAUAUUAGCUGUAUCAGUGAAUCUCACUCAAGUUAGCAAGGAAAAUAACUAAAGGUCAAGUGAUUGAUGACGUAAGUACAUAGAAAGAUCCAACUUCUGGGUAGGGAACAUUGCACACCUGAGCCCAUGCCUCCAUGGUAUAUGAAUAACCAGCUGGCUUAUCUGAAGCACCAAAUCCAAGGUGGUCAAUUGCAUAAACCGUGUAGCUCUUCGCCAGGGUGCCGAUAUUCCUGAAAUUACCUCAGAGAUAACAAGAAAAAUAUCAAUUCCUCACAUUAUUUAAUAGGAUAAAGGAGUAGUGAACACACAAAUUUUCAUUCCCCUCUUCUACGGAGCGGUAAAAUGAAUACUUUUUCACUAGAUUAAGAAUUGGAAAAUGGAAGAAGCCUAUACCCAUAAAAGGGUAAUAUUAAAUGGAACCCUGAAAUUCAGAUCACUGGUUUGUCAUCAUCUAGGUGCAAGGAAUAGAACUAAGUGUUAAUGCCAAUGCACCAUGAAAUAAUGAAUAGACUUUACUUUCAUUAUUCUUUUGCUUCAUUGAUCUUAAUUAAUUAUUAGAAGUAUAACACAUAUAAAUGCAUCCCUGGAGUUCAUAAUACAUAACAGAGUCAGAGAUAUUACAUACAUAAGGUAAAGACAUGCUCCAUACAAAAAAAAAAUAUUACAGUCGAAAAUACCCAGAACAUAAUUUGAAUUGAAUUCACAAUAAAGGAGCUACAUUUUUGUGCACCCAAUAAUCAACCCGCUAGACAAUUCACAACAAGAAAGAGCAAUCUUAUCUCGCUAACCUGCGCCAGUGAGGAAUGGAGACACCAAAGCCAUGGACAAGGAGUAGAGGAGGAGAAUCGGGAUGUGAAUUUGGAGUUGAAGAAACCAAGUAAUUGAUGGAGUACUGACCCUUCCAUUUCCACAUUUUGCAACUCUCCCUUAUCUCAUUAACCUCCAGUUCCAGUGCAGCAGAAGCAGAAUCCCCUCCACUGCUACUGUUAGUAUAACUGAUGGUAACAUUUUGUCUCUUCUUCUUCUCCUUAUUCCUCUGCUGCAACUCCAACUGCAACUGAAACUGCCAACUCUUAUUGCUCAAUAGGGGCAAGCGCAGGCCUUUUACAUCUCCAUUUCCAUUUCCAAUCCUGAGCGUUGUUAUUGGAAUAAUGAAAGAGGGAGCCCGAGCCCUUACCAUCCACACGCUCAUUCUUUUCUUGCUUUUUCGAUUGAAUAUUUUCUGUGGCCUGGCUUGGCCUGCUCCUCCCCUGCUUCCACCUCUAUGAGACUGUGGCUAUGACAAAAACUUUUUAUGUACUUAUUUAUUUAUUGGGCUUAUUCCACUAUUUUAUGAAAAUUUUACUGAUAUUCCUCAAAAAUCAAAAUGAUAAUACUUCGUCUAAAAAAUAAUUAUAAAACAUACAUGCUAUGUUUUAAAAUUUUCAAACAAAGAAGAACUUUGUAGAGUUAAUUAACUCGAUUUAUUUUAGUUUACUUUCAUGUGAUUUAGAUUAUUUUAUUAUAUUUAGCUACAAAGAUUGUUUUGUCAUAAGUUUAAAUUGAUUAUUUUACCCUUAUAAGGUAAAACUAUUGAGAAUUUACUUUAAUUUCAAUAUUUUUCUAAUUUUAUACCAAACUCAUUGUUUCUAAUACUAUUUUACUAGUAUGAGUUUUAAUCUUUAAUUAAACUAAAAUAGUAUCUUUAGGGCAUGAUACUCAUGUAACUUAUUGGGAUGUCAAUUUUAUGUUAUUUACACAUAAAAGUAGAGAAAAUAACAAUUAGAUUUUAUUUUAAAAUAUUAUAUUAUAAGCCACAAAAUUAGAUACAUAAAUUAUUAGAUACAAUAACUCAUGUUUAUUAUGGUAAUUUAGUCGCUAUAUAUCAUAAUAAUAAAAUACUAAAAUAAAUCUUGUAUUAAACUUUAUGAUUAAAGAUGGUCAAAUAACCGAAGAAGAAAAUCAAUAGAAGGAUUUUACUGAUUAACUAUACAAAAUUUUUAUUAAUUUGUAUUUUUAAAAAAAUAUUGUGAAUUCAUUACAAUUAAUUUCUAGAAGUAGGGUGGAUUUAUAAAAUAGUGGGGUGCAAAUACCCUUACCCAAAUAUUCCAUAAAAAGUGAAAACUAUUACCUUUUUCGAUGUACUUCUCUUGAAUUUUUUAUUCCUACGGAUAAACUUUAAUUCAUCCCCAAAUAAAAUGAUAAUCUCUAAUUUGCUCUCAAUGUAAAUCUCAAUUUAUUCUUCAUUUCCGUCCAAAAGAUGAGGGGCAAAUAAGGAAUGUGUUGAUGGGUUUUUUUUUUUUAAUCUUCUUAACAAUAAAUGGGGUAAAUUGAUAUUUUUAUACUUUUAGGUGAUAAAUUAAAGAUUUUCAUUCUGAAUUGGGGGCAAAUUAAAAUCUAUCUUAUUUCUAAAGGCACCACGUGAUUUGGCAAAAUAACUAAAAAGACAUUUUAUUUUUAGAAAAGGUCACACAUGUCUCUUUUGAGAUACACAAAUUCUCUUUUAGAUAAAACAUUAGGAUUUGUGUGAUUAUUUCUUAACCAAAAGGGUUUGUGUUUCAAAAAAAUGAUUAUGUAAUUAUUUUGCCUGACCGAGAGAGUCAUUAUUCAAACACCAAUCACAUUUUUGUUUUAACAAACACCCUUUCAUUUAUUCUUUAAGCUUUUUUUGUUUUUUCCCAAAAAAUGAUGAAUACAUAUUGAAAAUUUUGUUUUCAUUUUUUUAUUGAAAAAAUGAAAAACAACAAAGAUUACUGCUUCCUUGUCCAUACUUUUUCGUCCUAUAUUACCUUAAUUUUAUAUCGUUUUCUCUAUUUUUACUUUUAUAGUCCAAUUCUGAAAAUACACUAUUAGACACAUUUUUAAAUUCAAAAACACAAAACAUAGUGCAUCAUUUUCAUUAUAGGCAUUAACACCUGACGUACACAUUCUCCAAAUGGGAUUAAUGGAAAAAUAUAUAUAUAAAAAGGUGAGUCCUUCGGCCAAUCUUAUAGGUUCUAACGUUUUGAAGGUAAGUUUUAUCUUGUAACAUUCUCACAAAAUUUAAAAUCAACUGGGACGAAAAUUUUGAAAAUACUAUGAUUAGCACAGGCAUUUCAACAAUAGAGGAUGUAAUAAAAGCUCAUUGAGUUGAAACUUGAAAGCAAAAUUAGGAUCAAGGUCAUUUCUUUAAAAGAAUAAGGCAAGAUGCACGACAUGAAAUACCUGUGACCAAGCCUCAAAAGAUUCACCAAGCCCAGUAUUUUGCUUGCCCACGGCAUAAUUACACUUGGCUUCCCAAACAAAUAAUUGCUGGAGCUCGGACAAUGCAAGUAUUCAAUUUAACUUCAUAAAUAUCAGCAGGAGCAUAAUUACACUUGGCUCCCUAACAAAUAAUGCUGGAGCUCGGACAAUACGAGUAUUCAAUUUAACUGUACAUAGAUGUGCGGGGUUUUGGUGGUAAGUAAAAAGACGUGCCACUAUCAGUUGAGGAGUGCAUAAGAGGAUUACAUCUAUCAAAUACUAUCCGCCCCCCUCGGCCAAUUCUUCCACGAAAUUUGUGAGUUCGUGCUAUAGUGCCAUUCCUCGUAGAAGAAUCUGACGGCGGAACAAUACCUGCAGCGUCCAAUUUUUCUGGCACAAGGGGUUUUGUGAACAACAAAACUGGCUCGAGAGGAUCCUGAAACCCCACAGUUACAUUUUCAAAAUGAUGCACUGCUGAUAUUCAGAAAUAAAACAAGGAUAAAACAUUUUCUAAAGUUUACUUAAAUCAUUUUUCUUUCCAACCACAGAUAGGUCAAUAAGUCAAAUACUGGAGCUGACAGAGCGCUGGCAGAAUUAACUACAAACCCACCAGAUUUAUCUUGUUAAUUGAUUGUUUUCAAUUACCACGGUAACCCGGCUCGGGUGUUACCUCUGUUUCUGUCAGUGCUCUGUUGAAUAUUUCCGUUUAAAAAUCAGCAUCAUAUAUGUAAGUAGUAUGGCAGCAGCGAAAUAUCAUGUGUAAUAAUUAGGCUAUUAGGAGCAAAAGCUAUACGUACCAAUUUAUGUAGCCAUGCAUAAUAUAUUCAUUUUUGACUUGCAAAUUCUUCCUUUUCACAACAUUAGGUACAACUUUUCCUUUCCUUUUGAAGGCCCACUCCAGUAGGGGUGGGCAUUUGGUUCGGUUCAAUCUGAACCGAAUCGAACCGAACCGUAUUAUGAUAAUUUAAUUCGAUUUUGGUUCGCAGCAAAAAAAAUUAAAUGGUUCAGAAGCAUACAGAGUAGGGGUGGGCAUUUGGUUCGGUUCAGUCUGAACCGAACCGUAUUAUAAUAAUUUGGUUCGGUUUGGUUCGGAGCAAAAAACUAAAUGGUUCAGAAAUUCUGAACCAUUUGAUUUUUUAUUUGGUUCGGUUCAAAACCGAACCAAAUGGUUCAAGAAAAAAUUAAAAUUAAAAUUAAAAAAUAGUUCAGAAUUUAUCUUCUUUUUUUUAUUUCUGUUUGUUAGUUAAUACAUGAUAUUAUAUAUGUCAUUGCAUACACUUUAUUUUAUUGUUGAACUUUAUUAUUUUAAUUUAUUAUUGUUAAAUUUUAUUACAUUGGUUAUUAUUUAUGAAUUUCUAGAUUACUUUUGGAAUUUAUUAUGUUAAUUUACUAUUGUUAGAUUUUAUUAUGUUGUUUAUUGUUUGCUAAUUUAUAGACUCAAGAUUAUUGUUGUAUUAAUAGCGUAUUAUUAUAUUAUUAUUUUUAUUAAAUAAUGAAUAUAUAAGAUAAAAUCAAAUCAAACCGAACGGUUCUAUAAUUUGGCUCAUAAAUUCAUGAACCAUUUGAUUUCAGUUUGGUUCGGUUCAAGGGCUGAACCGAACCAAACUAAAUAGUUCCCACCCCUAAUAGAGAGUAAAAAGAGUUUCUUAUAAAUAAUUUGAGGAGGAUGGUUCUGCCACGACAGGUAAUACCAUAAACAAAUGAUUUCACCACAUUUCAAGAAAGCAUUUAACUUAUGCCUCAUUUUCAUUCUAGCAAUUUGCUUGCCAUUGGCUGAUUGGAAAAAGUGCAUUUAAGUGAUAGAAUACUGUCAACCUAUAGCACGAAUAGGGGUUAAACAAAGUAAAUCUCUACCUUUACAUGUCAAAUAAAAGACUUUCAUAAUAUCAAAUAUCAAAACUCAUGUCUAGUAAAGGAUUCCCCAAUGCUGGCUCUCAAAAUUGCUUUUGUUUCAUGGAUGAGAUGAUGGUUUUUGUGGAUAUUCUGCUCAACUUGGAUUAUGACUUGGGUCAGAUCCCAACUUGCUGCAAAGCUCACCUGACUAAAUCUUAGUUGAUUUGCUUUUCCAAACUAAAUCCAAGCAAGUAAGUACAAGAGAUAAAAGCAAAAGUUCAAGCAUCUCAUUUGAGCCUGUCACUAACAAAUGGUCAAUGAGCAAUGUCUAGCUAUGACUGAGCAACAGAAUCAAUAAACAGACAGACAAAAAAUAAUAAUCAAGUCAUCUGUCAAAUGCUAGUCCAAGAAAAUCAUAUAUAUAUGUAUGUAUGUAUGUAUGUAUGUAUGUAUGUAUGUAUGUAUAUGUAUAUGUAUAUGUAUAUGUAUAUGUAUGAUCAUUCAUUUCUCAAUCAACCACCAAAUUGAUGUCAACAAAGCCAUGAGGAUUGUCACACAAGUCUUUCAAUUCCCCUCUCUUUAGGCCAGAGACCAGUAAACCAUUUGAAAUAUAGAUGUGCAAACCAGUAAAUAAAUCAUGAAGUUACACACUAGUCUGCUUUCGCACUCAUUCAGAACUAUCAAUGAUACUUACUGCAAGUACGGUGUAUACAUUAUACUAAAGUGAAGGCUGGAUCAAUAAGAAAUUCAAAAUGUUUCAUCACAUUUGGGGCUUGAUGAUGCCAAAAAAAGACCAUACCAAUUAUGAUGAACAGUAAAAUGUGAACAAGAACAAGCAUACAUUUAAGAAAGCAGAGAAGCAUCAUUAAAAUAAAGUAUUCUUCUUACUAUUCUUGGAAAAUGGACCAAAAUAAAAAAGAAACCAUAUAUGGUUAACGUCACAACAAGAGUAUUUGUGCAUUUGUACAUCAUAGGAUAUUGGGAAGACAUCAGUAGAGAAGUGCAAAUUUUUUUUUGGGGAAAGGAACAGAGAAGUGCAAGUCAAAAAGGAGAAAAAAUGAAAAAAGAGAGAUCAAAAGGAAUGCAAUCUAAUUAAUUGUCUAAGGAGACUUCUAUGCUACAUUUAGCCAUUGGUUGAAUAGGCAGCUUGUUUUCUAGUACAACUUUAAAUUUUCCAAGAUUUAGAAUUUUCCUACUGAAGAAAACUAAUUUCUAAAGCAGCUAUUACCAUCUUCAUCCCAACGGUAAGCAGCUCCAUACUAAGGAAAGAAUGAAAUAAGUGUGUUUUACUUAUAGAAGCCCAUUCCUGUCCAGAGUGAUUAGUAAGUUGUUUCACCAUGACCCCCAUUAUGGUGACUGAAAAAAGAAAAAAAAAAAGAAGAAAAUAUUUGCCGAACACAAUAGUAGCACCUAAGAAGUCCUACUUAAGAGGCUUCAUACCCUGCACAAAUCGGAAAGUUUUUUAAAAUUUUCAUGUUUCAAAUGAAGAUUCUCCAUUAAAAAAUUACACACAUACUGUAUGUAAAGCAAUUAAAAAAAAAAAAAAAACAAGGAUAACCCAGAAACAAUCCAACCAUUAAUGAAAGUGAGCAAUGUUAUUGUUUUAUUAUUUUUGAACUCGUGGUGGCUCUGUAUUAUUUGCAAAUUAUUUACAAAAUACUCGUAUAAGGAGAGGGACAUAUUUUAUGCUGGAAUAUUGUCAAUAUAAAUGGUGCUCUAAAAAUGUGUCCGACUGUAAAGAUAUGUCUAAUUAAACAGUGUCAUAUAUAAUAAAAACGUAUCCUUUUAUUUAAAGAUGCUUUCAUUCAUGGUUUCAUGCUUCAAUUUGAAAUGACGAUAGUUUAUUUUGGACCAGUGAUGAUCUAAUUCAAAUUUUAAUUUAAUAACCAUGAAUGAAAUAACCACUUUCUGUUAGUUCUCUUAAAAUUUAUUAAGAAAUCUAUAUUGAAGGCCGUUUUAUCCUUUAGUGUUGUAGAAAAUACACUUUACAUUUUGAAAUUUAAAAUGACCUUCUUUUAAAUAAAAUUUUAAAACAAAUGCCUCUAACUAAGGAAGAAAUUUUAGAAUACAUCAGAAGUACCAUGUUAGCCAUACAACAAGUGAAUCAUGGUACGACACAUGUGCACUUAUUUUAAAAAACUAUUAUUCAAAUGGUGGUUAUAUUGAAUAUAAAUAUGUACAUAUCAUACAUGACACAAACCGCGUCAACCCUUCUAUUGGAUCUGGGGUGAAUCAUGCAAUUUUAUAUCUAAAGCUCAUGACAUAAACUUAAUUCAUGAAUAUAUAACACUAGCCUUGGCCUUUGCUAUAAACAUAUAAUAAUCUAUGUGCCUCAUUCAAAAAUUUAUUAAAAACUUACAUAGUUCAUAUCUCAUUGUACAUACAUUCACUUCGAAAAUAUACAUAUAAACAUAAACGUGGUCAAAAUGUAAGUCGUGCAGUAAUGCGUGUUGUGGUCCAACCUCAAUUGAUCAGAAAUUGAACUACACGAAAUCCUAUGGAAACCUUAGAGAAAUGGGGUAAAUAGGAAAAUAGUAAGUUUCUGACUCAAUGAAUGAAUAUAAUUAUAUAUAAAAAUAAAUUAGUGCUUUAGUGCUCGUCAUAAUUGUAUGACAUAACUUUACACUGAACGCUUUACAAAAGCAAACAUGAACUCAUAUAUACAUACAUGACAAAAUUGCACCAAAUAAUAUACAGGGGAAAUAACUCUCAAUACUCACUGUGAUCAUCAUCGCAUGAGUAAAAAGGGGGAAAAACCUCUCAAUACUCAGUAGAAUUAACAACAUCACAAGGGUCGAGUAAUUUAAUUCUCAAUAUGCAUGCGUAGAGCCUAUGGGAAAAGGUACACAUAUGGUGCCUGUCAAUUACAUCUCAUGACUCAGUCAAUCAUAUAAUGCACGUACAUAUAAUCAUAACAUUAUACAAAAUCGUACUAUUAAACAUAAAUGCUUUGUAAAAUACAUAAUAGUAAUAAUAAUAAUCCACUCACAGAUCCUAUUGAUGAAGCACGCACGUGCUUUGCUUUAAGCUAACAGCUUGCUAUUGCUUUGACAAUUAACCACAUGUGCCUCCUUUUAGCUUGCACGUGUGUCACAAUACAUGCAUUAGAAUUGGUUUUAUUCUCAUGGGUGAAGCAUGAAUGUGCUUUGCUUUAAGCUAACCGCUUGCUAUUGCUUUGACAAUUAGCCACAUGUGACCCGUUUAUAGUUUAGGAAAUAACAAUAUUGAAUCGAAAUAUUCACUACUAGAAAAAUGAGUUUUACUGACACUAAUUUAGCGUCAGUAAUUACUUUUAUUGACACUUGUUAAUUGUGUCAGUGUUGCUCAAGCCAGAACACACUGACACUAAUUUUUGGUGUCAGUAAUUUUUGUGUCAGUAAUUUGUUUCACUAUAGUAUCACUAAAAUAAUGACACGAUGAUGUUGGUAUUUAAUGAUACUAUUUACACGUCAGUGAUUUAUGUGACUAUAGUAUCAAUAAUAAGCUAGCUCGAUAAUAUAAAAAAUUAUUAAUGUCAAUUUAAAUAUUUAGUGUCAGUAUUUAAUAAUGUUAUGCAGGAUUGGUUAAUAAAUUUUUUUUAUUCUAAUUAUAUUUUUCCUGAAUGUUUUACAACCAAAAGAAAGCUCAAAAUAUAUUAAAUAUAUAAAAUGUCACAAUAUAAUUCACAUAAUAAACAUCCCAAAUACAUCACUCAAAUUCACAUGAUUCAACUACACCACUAUCUGGAAAAGAAAAAUAUAAAUACUAAAUUAAGUUUUCAACAACCACAAAGUACGAAUUUAGUUUCCACCAAAAAGAAGCACAAGAACAUCACUCAACAUCCAUCUGCAGCUUCAUUUUUUUCCCACCUACAACAACAUAAAAUCAAUUAGUAUGGAAAUAGAUUAUCGAAAACAAAUUGAUUGUGAGUAGUUAAACAGAGCAAUUGAAGGAUGUUUCAACAACUAAUAAAACAAUAAGAAAUAAGAUUACAAUAAUACUGAAAGUUAUAGAAAUAAAGAACCUUAGCUUAAGUUGUCUGAAGAAACCAUGUUGGAUAACCUGCUACAAGUCACAGAAAACAAAACAUCUAAGUCAAUCUAAUUAAAAACUUCCUAUUUUUUAUAAUCAAACAACAGAAAUCUGCAAUCAAAACAUCCAUUUGCCCACUCAAACUUUCAGCCUUAGCAUAAACUUCUUUCACUUUAAUCUCAUAAAACUUGUCAAAUUUAUGAAACUCUCAUCAAGCCUUCUAAAAAACUACCGCUCUCAUUCCCCUCCUUCCUCAACAAUCCUCAAAAGUAUUUUCAUUGCAAAAUAGCCCAAAAAAAUUAUAGGAGUUGUUUUGACUUUAGAAUAGCAACAAAACAGCCCCGGGAAAUCUGUAGGGGCUGUUGUGCAGUGAAAACAGUCACUAGAAAUUUACAGGGGCUGUCUUGUUGCUGUUCUAUAGUAGAAACAGCCCCUGCAAAUUAACACUUUCAAAUGAAUUAGAAAAGAAAAUAAUGUUACCUAUGAUAGUCAUCAUUGUUGAAGUCAUAGCAGAUAGCCUGCAAAUUAACAAUAAUAACAGCAUUUACAUCAGUUUAUGAAACUGCUUUUAUUGGUUUUUUUUUUGCAAGGAUAUGUAUAUAAAUAAUAGUGCAUUUAAACUUACAUAUAUAAUGCAUCUUAGACCAGCCAUUAAUGUGGUAUAGUUUUUGUAAAGUACCCUAUUUACCUCAGAAACUUCACUUUCCUCUAUGCCAAGAUUUUGAAUUAUCUAUUAUACACAAAGUAAAUUUGUAGAAACUAGUUAUACAUUUGUUAAACAAAUAAACAACUUAAAUGACAAAAGUUUACUAACUGAAUAGAAAUGCACCAAGGUCAUUAUAAAUUGGCACUACUUACUGAAAUGAUCAACAACAUUGACACUAACACCUCAUACAUAAAUUCAGAUUUUAAGCGUAUAAAGAGAGUUCAAAUGAAUGAUUGCUUAUACAUUUUAUAACAGAUUUUACAACAAUAAAGUAGAUAAAUGGCAACUCUACUAGAGGUAUGUUUCUAGUAUAAGGAAUCAAGCAUAAGUAAAGGAGCAAGGUAGUAUCUUAUCAUCCGCAUAAUCAACACACCAUGACAGAAAUCGAAUCAAAUAAAUACUACGAGUGCCGAAUGGAAGAAAGAAAUUAAAACAUUUUCUGUAAAAUAUUAUUAUUAAUCAAUAACAUGUCUUAAUAUAAAGCGAAAAGUUUCCGAUGAUAAUAUAAAUAUCCAAAACUAUAUAGUCAAAUACUCAAAAGCUGAAACCAAAAUAUCAGAAAAAAAUUUAUAAAAGCAAUAACAUAAACCUAAGCAGUAAACACAACAGACCCACCAGCUUUUUUAAUUUUCUUCUUGGCUGUUUUGGAAACGCUUCACCACAACGAGUUGGUUCUCAAGCAAAAGGCCCUUACCCAAAACCUUAAAGUAGCCAAACUGAGUCACAUCGAUCGUGGGAACAAUGUCUUUGGAAGCCUUGGCUUUGACCUCCUGAGGUACCAUUGGCCAAAGCCUUUUUUUUUUUUUUGAUCCAUGACAAUGAAAACUGAUCUUUUAUAUAUUCAAGCAAAUGAAGUGAAACCCCUGCUCAAAGAUACCAUAAAAACUAGAUGACAAUUUUGAACACUAGUGUCUAAAGCCCAGAGGCCUAUGUAUUUGAUAAAACAACUGACAGAACACUAAACACAUAAUGUUGAAAUUCAAAAGUUAAAAGGGUCAAACAGAGAAUUGAAACAUAAUAUGAUUCGCCCUUAAGAUAAAUUCUUGGCCCUCAAAUCACAUGCAGAAGCAAGCUACAUUGAAGAGAGAUUCGGAAGAAGCACUGAAAAUGCCAAAAGAUCGAAGUUGCCCUUCUUGAGAAAACCGACCUUAUGAUUACUAAGGCGAUUCAGGCAAGACAACUACUACACGAACCCUAAAAAUGGAGUUGCUUACCUUCUUCAGGGGAUGCGGGGCAAAUUAAAUUAUUACAGUAUUACUCACAACUCAAUUAAUUUGAGUAUUUGACUAAUCUAAUUUAGACAAAAAAUUAAUGAAAAAAUUAAAAAGUGGAAUCUCAACUCACUGUCUCAGGCGGCCGGCGCGAUGGCGACGGCUGAACGCGGCUGCAAAAGCAAUAAUUUAGACUGGAGGGUGAGAUGGUGACCAGAGACGGAGAAAGUGAGAGCGACUAAACGAGCGUGAAAGAGAGGGGUUGUUGCUGCUGUGUGUGCCUUCAGAGAGAGAGUGAAAGCGAGCGAGCUACUGCAGUGUGUGGUGCGACCUGCUGGGCUGCCGCCGCCGCCGCCGCCGCCGCGUGGGCUGCAUGUGCCGUUGUCAUCGUGUGUGCUACUAAGGCCUUAGAGAGGGGCUGCCGCUAGUUAGCGCUUAGGGAGAGUUAGGGAUUUAGGCACUUGGAAUUUUAGGGAUUUGGAUUUUAGUUUGUUUGAGAGGGAACAAAUUUUGGUGGAGGGAGAUCAAAAAUUUUGUGUUAAAUUAUAGCAAAGGGUUUGUAGUUAAUUAUAUACGGUUUAACCAAACAAAGAAAAUAUGCACACAAGUGGUUUGUAGUUUGAAAUUAAAAUUUUAACUUCGGAGAUAUUGAGUUCGAGUCCAAGUAAAAACAUAAUUAGAAUUAUAUUUGUUUUUAUCACUGAUACUAAAGUAUAAGUAAUUACUGAGUUUUAUGCUACUGACACCUUAGUACCAGUGAUUUAUGAUACAUAUUUGUUAAAUGGAAAAAAUGAUCCAAAUGUAUAACAUUACUGACACUUUUUACGAAGUGUCAGAAACGAAGUGUCAGUAAAAGUCAUUUUUGUAGUAGUGAUUCUUAGAAGAUAGUAUUUAUUUUCCAUUCAAACAUUUUCUCAUUUCGGCAAAGGUCACAAAAAAAAAUGCUUUUUUUAAUUUAAAUGUAAAUAUUUAAAAAUCAUAUAUAAGUUAUAAAAAAUAAAUAAUUAAUAUUUUUUUUAAAGUUAGACUUUAUAUGCUUAACAGUCAACCCUAAGGAACAUGAAUAAGAGCUACUAAAAAAAAAGAAUAAUUUUGAGCCUAAAUACAAUUAAUUGAGAGAUGAGGACGGAUAAGACAAAUUCAGAGAUAAAAAUUAAAAUAUCACCCUACUUAUUGCUGGCAGUUAUGAGCAUUAAAGCACAGAAGCACGUGUGUUGAAAAGUAUGGUGUUCGUGUGGAAUUUUCAGUUAACAGUCUACAAAGCAGUGGAAUUAAUCAAUCAUCGUGGAGUGCACGGUGGUUGGACAAUGAGAUGAAAUUGAAAAAUUAUCACGGAACGUGAAGGAAGGUUCAUGGCAUCGAUUUAUUGUACAGAGUCGCGCACAUUUGGUUCAAUAAUUGUUUUCAUCCGAAUCAAAAUCUCUUUCUAAUCAAUUCAACUGAUUUUGUUGAUUAUGGCUUCUUCUUAUCGAAACAACAAGAAGUAUGAUGUUUUUGUUAGUUUCAGAGGAGAGGACACCCGUGACAACUUUACCAGCCAUCUCUAUUCUGCUCUGUGUCGACAAAAUAUCCAAACUUUCAUUGAUGACCAACUUAACAGAGGAGAUGAAAUUUCGGAGUCACUUGUGAAUGCAAUUGAAGCAUCAGCCAUUUCAGUUAUCGUCUUCUCAGAAGGGUAUGCAUCUUCCAGAUGGUGUCUCGAUGAACUUGUCAAGAUCCUCGAGUGCAAGAAAGAGUAUGCACAGAUCGUGAUUCCGGUUUUCUAUCGGGUUGAUCCAUCAGACGUGAGAAACCAAACUGGGAGUUUUGGGGAUUCAUUUUCGAAGCUUCAAGAAAGAUUUAAGGAGAAUUCAAAGAAGCUGCUGACUUGGAGGAAUGCUUUGAAGGAGGCAGCCACUUUGUCUGGCUUUCAUUCUCGUAACAUCAGGUGAAAAGUUACUUUUAAUUUCGCAUACUAAUAUUCAACACUGUAAAUAAAAUUCACGCAGCACCCUUAGUUAAAUUUUCCAGAUGAUAAACUACACUUUUAAAUUUUUUCAUGCAUCAAAUUCUAGACUUCUUGAACUUCCCCACUUUUGAACUCCUAUAAAAGAAUUUUUGCAGAAUUAAUAAUAAAAGCUCCAGAGGUUUACAAUAUAUUUUAACAAAAUUAAUGGUGUUCUGUCGUUUUUUAAUCAAUUUCAAUCUCUUACUCAUAUACCACUAGGAAAAAAAAAAUCUCUUCCACAUAUAACAUAUUCCUGUAAUUAAAGAGUUAUUAAUUUAUAGGGAAAUUGGAAAUUUCCUUACUCAAAUCAAUAUAUACCACUUAUUUUGACUAUUUUUACAAUAUUUAAUAACUCUCCUGGUACCAUCACUUUACAAUAUUAUCCUUAUGAAAAAAAAUAAGUGGUAUAUAUUAAUUUCAAUAGGAAAACUAGCAAUCUCCUUUAUUUCACAUUUUAUGCAAAUCCCUUCUAUUUGAAGUUACUGCUGCUAAUUUUAUGUAUUUGGUAGGCCUGAAUCGGAACUUAUAAACGAAGUUGUUCAUCACAUUUUGAAGAGACUGCUGGAUCAAGUUUUUCGGCGGAAUGAUAACAAAAACCAGCUGGUUGGAGUAGAAUCAAGAGUUGAGGAAAUUGAGUCUCUACUAGGUGCUCAGUCGAAAGAUGUUUACGCUUUAGGGAUUUGGGGCAUUGGUGGUAUAGGCAAAACAACAAUCGCUAGAGCUAUUUUUUACAAAAUCUCUAGCGGUUUUGAAGGUUCUUGCUUCCUUGAAAAUGUUAGAGAAGAGUCACAAAAACCGGGAGGAUUAGCUUGCUUGCGACAAAAACUUCUUUCAAAUUUAUUGAAAGAUAAAAAUGUGAGUCUUGAUAUUGGUCUUAAUUUUAGAAGGCUCAGCCGCAUGAAGGUUCUGAUUGUUUUUGAUGAUGUGACUUGCUUCAGCCAAUUAGAAUCUAUAAUUGGAAGUCUUGAUUGUUUGACGCCUGUGAGUCGAAUCAUAAUAACCACCAGAAAUAAACAAGUGCUUAGAAAUUGGGGGGUGAGGAAAAUAUAUGAGAUGGAGGCAUUAGAAUAUCAUCACGCUCUUGAGCUUUUCAGUCGACAUGCCUUCAAACAAAACCAUCCUGACGUUGGUUACGAGAAAUUUUCAAGCAAGGUAAUGAAAUAUGCUCAAGGUGUUCCUUUAGCUAUUAAAGUUUUGGGUUGCUUUCUAUAUGAAAGAGAAAAGGAAGUCUGGGAAAGUGCAAUAAAUAAAUUGCAAAGAAUCCUCCAUCCAAGUAUCCUAGAGGUAUUAAAAAUAAGUUACGAUAGUUUGGAUGAUAAGGAGAAAAAUAUUUUCCUUGAUGUUGCUUGUUUCUUUCAAGGCGAGGAUGUAAAUCUAGUAAUGAAAUUCCAUAAUGCAAGCGGUUUCUACUCAGAAAUAGGAAUAAGUGUUCUUGUUGAUAAAUCUCUCAUUGCUAUUGAUUCAUACAACAAGAUAAGAAUGCAUGAUUUACUACAAGAGUUGGGUAGGGAAAUUGUUCGACAAGAAUCAAUUAAUCCUGGAAACCGCAGUAGGUUGUGGCAUCAUGAGGAUAUCUAUGAAGUUCUUACAUAUAACACGGUAAGCAGUUUGUUGUGCAUAAUUAUUUUGAAAUAUUCUAGCAUUUACAAACUUGAUAAGAAUAUAUUUAUAUCUGCUCGAACUGAUGAGUCUUAGAAUUAAUAGAAGAGCAACAAUGAUUGGAAAAAACCAUAGCGGUUAGAUGACGUAGCAAUAAAUUAUAAAUGCCAUGACAGCUUGCAUAAUCGUUUGCAAGCAUAAUUGAUAUGCCAAUUUGUAUAGUACACAGACGGAAUUUUUAUAUUAAGUAUUACUUGUGUUAUUAUGUUUCUUCGUGCAUUUGAAUUAAAGUUUAACUGCCUAGCAAUAACUAUAAGCUACCUCUAAUUGUGAAUUAGUGAGAAAAUUGCCCCAAAAAUUUGACUUGGUGGGGUUGAAGUGCAAUUCAUUGGUGGAAUACACAUAUCUUUCAUUUGAUUUUAACUUCAUUGCUUUUUUAUUUAUUUUUAGGGGACAGAAAAAAUUGAGGGCGUCUCUUUGGAUAUGUCAAAAGUAAAAGAGUUCCUUCUAAAUCCCAAUACUUUCACAAAGAUGCCUAAGUUGAGAUUUUUAAAGUUCUAUAGUUCAUCAUUCAAUGGAGAGAACAAAUGUAAGAUGUCCUAUUUGCAAGACCCUGGAUUUGCUGAAGUGAAAUAUCUUCACUGGCAUGGAUAUCCGUUGAAGUCAUUACCCUCAAACCUUAGUGCAGAGAAGCUUGUGUUACUUGAAGUGCCUGAUAAUGACAUUGAACAACUUUGGGAUUGUGUGAAGGUAUGCAUAUCUUAUCAUAUAUGUGCAAUCUUUCAAUAACAACCUUAAAUUAUUAUACGUGGUAACGAUUUUGUCUUGGCCUCUUUUUUGACCGAGCAGCAUU
RNAcentral lists this long non-coding RNA (40232 nucleotides) under Citrus x clementina. RNAcentral describes it as "Citrus clementina (C. clementina) long non-coding RNA (CCLE_LNC004262)". The record is from RNAcentral. Lineage: Eukaryota; Viridiplantae; Streptophyta; Magnoliopsida; Sapindales; Rutaceae.